Molecule: ribosomal RNA, 454 nt
Filed under: uncultured bacterium
Lineage: Bacteria
Description: partial 16S ribosomal RNA
Rfam family: Bacterial small subunit ribosomal RNA
Source: RNAcentral
GAUGAACGCUGACAGAAUGCUUAACACAUGCAAGUCAACUUGAACUUCGGUUUGGGUGGCGGACGGGUGAGUAACGCGUAAAGAACUUGCCUCACAGAUAGGGACAACAUUUGGAAACGAAUGCUAAUACCUGAUAUUAUGAUUAUAUGGCAUCGUAUAAUUAUGAAAGCUAUAUGCGCUGUGAGAGAGCUUUGCGUCCCAUUAGCUAGUUGGAGAGGUAACGGCUCACCAAGGCGAUGAUGGGUAGCCGGCCUGAGAGGGUGAUCGGCCACAAGGGGACUGAGACACGGCCCUUACUCCUACGGGAGGCAGCAGUGGGGAAUAUUGGACAAUGGACCAAGAGUCUGAUCCAGCAAUUCUGUGUGCAAGAUGAAGUUUUUCGGAAUGUAAAGUGCUUUCAGUUGAGAAGAAAAAAAUGACGGUACCAACAGAAGAAGUGACGGCUAAAUACGUG